This is a long non-coding RNA of Dryobates pubescens (Downy woodpecker), 255 nucleotides long. RefSeq lists it as uncharacterized. NCBI's taxonomy places the organism in Eukaryota, Metazoa, Chordata, Aves, Piciformes, Picidae. The record is from RefSeq and is a predicted model, not a curated record. The transcript has 3 exons.
CCGCAGCCCAGCUCGCCACCAGCACUUGCCUGGACAAUCUGACCUGGUCACAAGUUCCUGAGCUGUGUUACAGGAAGUCUUGUGGUGUUCCAGCAAAUCCACAGCAUGGCAGAGUCAUUGCAACGGAUCAUCUGCUCCAUGCAGAGGCAGUGGUGGUUUGUGACCCUGGGUACACAUUAAAGGGACUUUCACCUCAUGUCUGGUGCUCCCUAAGGGGAGAUGAAGUUGCCUGGAGUGACAUUCCAACGUGUUGGG